CUACGUGCCAGCAGCCGCGGUAAUACGUAGGUGGCAAGCGUUGUCCAGAAUUAUUGGGCGUAAAGCGCGCGCAGGCGGAUUGGUCAGUCUGUCUUAAAAGUUCGGGGCUUAACCCCGUGAUGGGAUGGAAACUGCCAAUCUAGAGUAUCGGAGAGGAAAGUGGAAUUCCUAGUGUAGCGGUGAAAUGCGUAGAUAUUAGGAAGAACACCAGUGGCGAAGGCGACUUUCUGGACGAAAACUGACGCUGAGGCGCGAAAGCCAGGGGAGCGAACGGGAUUAGAUACCCCGGUAGUCCUGGCCGUAAACGAUGGGUACUAGGUGUAGGAGGUAUCGACCCCUUCUGUGCCGGAGUUAACGCAAUAAGUACCCCGCCUGGGGAGUACGACCGCAAGGUUGAAACUCAAAGGAAUUGACGGGGGCCCGCACAAGCGGUGGAGUAUGUGGUUUAAUUCGACGCAACGCGAAGAACCUUACCAGGUCUUGACAU
RNAcentral lists this ribosomal RNA (487 nucleotides) under uncultured bacterium. RNAcentral describes it as "bacterial SSU rRNA". It matches the Rfam family "Bacterial small subunit ribosomal RNA", at positions 501 to 987 of the family's 1533-position model. The record is from RNAcentral.